CUGCAAACCAGAUCACUAGCUCUGCAUGAUGUUGUAGCAGCAAGGGGAACACGUUUGCUAAAUAGAAAUAUGCAGAAGGGAUAUUUUAACCUUAAAGAAUCGUCUUUCUGGUCUGUAAUUCCUUCUCCAACAGUU
Pseudophryne corroboree (corroboree frog) is the source of this 135-nucleotide small nucleolar RNA. NCBI's taxonomy places the organism in Eukaryota, Metazoa, Chordata, Amphibia, Anura, Myobatrachidae. The record is from RefSeq and is a predicted model, not a curated record.